RNAcentral lists this ribosomal RNA (497 nucleotides) under uncultured bacterium. RNAcentral describes it as "partial 16S ribosomal RNA". It matches the Rfam family "Bacterial small subunit ribosomal RNA", at positions 28 to 507 of the family's 1533-position model. The record is from RNAcentral.
GACGAACGCUGGCGGCGUGCCUAAUACAUGCAAGUUGAGCGCUGAAGGUUGGUACUUGUACCAACUGGAUGAGCAGCGAACGGGUGAGUAACGCGUGGGGAAUCUGCCUUUGAGCGGGGGACAACAUUUGGAAACGAAUGCUAAUACCGCAUAAAAACUCUAAACACAAGUUUUAAGUUUGAAAGAUGCAAUUGCAUCACUCAAAGAUGAUCCCGCGUUGUAUUAGCUAGUUGGUGAGGUAAAGGCUCACCAAGGCGAUGAUACAUAGCCGACCUGAGAGGGUGAUCGGCCACAAUGGGACUGAGACACGGCCCAAACUCCUACGGGAGGCAGCAGUAGGGAAUCUUCGGCAAUGGACGAAAGUCUGACCGAGCAACGCCGCGUGAGUGAAGAAGGGUUUCGGAUCGUAAAACUCUGUUGGUAGAGAAGAACGUUGGUGAGAGUGGAAAGCUCAUCAAGUGACGGUAACUACCCAGAAAGGGACGGCUAACUACGUG